CGGGGCGUAGCGCAGUCUGGUAGCGCAUCUGCUUUGGGAGCAGAGGGUCGUGAGUUCAAAUCCCACCGCCCCGACCA
This 77-nucleotide transfer RNA is filed under the name Zoogloeaceae bacterium. RNAcentral's name for it is "tRNA-Pro". It matches the Rfam family "tRNA". From Rfam's summary of the family: Transfer RNA (tRNA) molecules are approximately 80 nucleotides in length. Their secondary structure includes four short double-helical elements and three loops (D, anti-codon, and T loops). The record is from RNAcentral. Lineage: Bacteria; Pseudomonadati; Pseudomonadota; Betaproteobacteria; Rhodocyclales; Zoogloeaceae.